RNAcentral lists this ribosomal RNA (1113 nucleotides) under Trichoderma lixii. RNAcentral's name for it is "eukaryotic LSU rRNA". The stretch from base 200 to 353 matches the Rfam family "5.8S ribosomal RNA". The record is from RNAcentral. Lineage: Eukaryota; Fungi; Ascomycota; Sordariomycetes; Hypocreales; Hypocreaceae.
UGGCUCGACGGAGUCCAACCCAAUGUGAACGUUACCAAACUGUUGCCUCGGCGGGAUCUCUGCCCCGGGUGCGUCGCAGCCCCGGACCAAGGCGCCCGCCGGAGGACCAACCAAAACUCUUAUUGUAUACCCCCUCGCGGGUUUUUUUAUAAUCUGAGCCUUCUCGGCGCCUCUCGUAGGCGUUUCGAAAAUGAAUCAAAACUUUCAACAACGGAUCUCUUGGUUCUGGCAUCGAUGAAGAACGCAGCGAAAUGCGAUAAGUAAUGUGAAUUGCAGAAUUCAGUGAAUCAUCGAAUCUUUGAACGCACAUUGCGCCCGCCAGUAUUCUGGCGGGCAUGCCUGUCCGAGCGUCAUUUCAACCCUCGAACCCCUCCGGGGGGUCGGCGUUGGGGAUCGGCCCUGCCUUGGCGGUGGCCGUCUCCGAAAUACAGUGGCGGUCUCGCCGCAGCCUCUCCUGCGCAGUAGUUUGCACACUCGCAUCGGGAGCGCGGCGCGUCCACAGCCGUUAAACACCCAACUUCUGAAAUGUUGACCUCGGAUCAGGUAGGAAUACCCGCUGAACUUAAGCAUAUCAUAAGGCGGGAAGGAAAAGGACGAGUGUAGACUCCCAAAGCCGUGGUGAACGUUACGGACUGUUGCCUCUCGGGAUGUCUGCCCCAGGGCGUCGCAGCCCGAACGAGGCGCGCGGAAGAACAACAGAAGUAAAGGGGUAAGCCCCGAGGGGGUUUUUGUAAUGAACUGAGCCUUGUGGCCCCCCUGAAAGGCGUUUCAAGAGUGAGUCAAAAUAUUAACAACGGAGGUUUGGGGUCUUGCGUGGGUAAAGAAACACCAAAUGCGGAUUAGGUAUUGUGGAAUUGCGAAAAAUCAAGGAAACAGCAAACUGUGAGAGCAGAUAUGAGCGCGCAGUUGCCUGGCGGCAUGGCGUGCAAGGUUCUUUUGCCCCCGACCACGCCGGAGGAGGAGGUGGUAUGAGAAGAAGCGCCGACAGAGUGAGGGUGCGAGCUGCAGAAGAUUACGGGUAGCUUGUUGCUCAGCGCCCGUCUGCGUAAGUUGUUGUUGCGAGGCACGUGAGAGCGGAGUGGGAUGGCGCCGGGCGGUGAGAUUGACAGCUUA